AUGGGACAGAUGUACCGGGAAUACACAGAUCGCCGUGCAUCGCAUCUUCUCCCUGAUAACAUGGAGGGCAAAGUUUGUUGCCCUUCAUCACUCGAAGCUUUAGGGUGUUUGCUUCGUAAAUGGUACUGCAUCGUACUUGUGCUACUGCUGUAUUUUAAUACGGCGCCACAUAAUUUACAGGUAACUUCGUUGCCCUUUCUGUUAAAAUGAUCCCACACAGUGCUUCUUUUCGCUCGCUUCAUUCUGCUUCCCUUGCUCGGGAAAAAAAAAAAUUCUGCAGGCAUGUGUCACGUGUGUGGUUGCGCGUGCCGACGCUCUCCGUGAGUUAAUAAAUAUAAGCUAUAUAGUAGGCUAUUUUAUUUUUAAACCAUGCAGCAAACUAAAAAAAAGAACCUUAAAAAAACGUUUUAAACCGUUUAACUGAUAGUAUUAAUCAGUCAAAAUUUUUACUUUCGGUUAACGGUUAAACGGUCAAUAUGAGCAUCCCUAAUUUGCAGAUAGAAAUGAGAACGGUCCAGCAUUUAGCAAUAAUUAUGAUUAAUUCUGUUAUUAUUCUUGAUUUUUCAAACUGCUAACACUUUGCAUUUUUAAAUUAUGCCUUUACUGUGUGACCAAAAAUUUUGUAUUUUCUGUUUCAGCUGUUUGAUCGCGCUGGUGCCUGCGCACAUUCAUUGGAAACAGUAGCCGUUCACCGUGCCAUUCGGCGCGAGCAGCGGUCCACGUUGGCAUAUUUUUGUUAAAGGAACACUCCAACUUUUUGGGACUUUAGCUUAUUCACAGUAUCUCCCAGAGUUAGAUAAGUCCAUACAUACCUUUUUCAUUUCUGUGCGUUCUGUAAGUGUUAUUUGACGCACCCACCGCUAGCCUAGCUUAGCACAAAGACUGGAUGUGAAUGGAUAAUGCUAGCAUAGUAAUCCCAAUAAGUGACAAAAUAAUGCAAACAUUUUCCUAUUUACAUGUUGUGAUCUGUAUAGUCACAGCGUGUACAAAUAACAAGGCUAUAUGAGACAGAGACCCUUUUUAAUCGUAUAAAUACUGGGAACUAUAUUCUCACUAGGCGUAGGAGCACAGCUAACGUUACUUGGGCGGAGUGGCUACUUGGGCGGAGUGAUUAGCGCAGCACACGAGAUGCCCUGUUGAUGGUUCCGUAAACAAAACAAACGUGACUAACUAGCUAGACGUGACUUGUGAUCAUGGCUGACUUUGAGGAAUUGUCAGACUCAGAGUAAAUGUUUUUCUGUCUUGCUACUUGUGGACUUUGAAGCUGGGCGCAGUUAGCGCGAGUCCCGCGCGCUGUGAAGCGGGAGCAGCUGACGGAGGACUCCGCUUGGUCUUAAAGCCUUCCACAAACGCUACGUUCACAAAUAACAAUGAUUUUCGUAAAAUAAUGAUUAAUUAUCAAUUGAUAAUUUGUUAUUAUUAUGGUCUUGUGAAAACAAUAAUGUGGGCUGCGGGAAAAUAAUGAAUAAAAAGAGAAGGGCUGCUGUGAGUGCAGGCAUGUUUCAGCCCAGUAACAUGAGAACACACCGUUCCUCACAGCCAGAAACAGACCGAGUUCAGUUCAGCUCGAGGGGGUUGGGGGGUAGUUCUGUGUAGCUUGUGGAGGUUGAUAUAAAGGUGUGAAUCUCUUGCUCUUUCAUAUGGACAGUGUCUUAUGAGGGUAUCAAACUUGCAGAACAGGUUUAGAUAGGACUCGUCAUUUUGGUUUUAGGGCAACUUUGAAGAAAGGUUUUGAUCCACUUCAAAUGUUGACUAAUGUAUAGCGCAAUAUAGUUUAUUAGUUAUUAUAACUUCAGAGGAAGUUGCCUUAACUCAAUAAAAUAAAUAAAUAAAUUCGCAAACGAAAUCCAGACCAGUCCAGACAUCAGUAUGAUCUGUAUAUGAUGUUUUAUAGGCUUUUUUAGAUUUGGGAAUACACAUGCGUUACAGACAUGACAAAAAAACAUUUUGGAGUUUUUGGAGACAUUAUUAUUAUUAUUAAUUAAAAAAAAUUUUGUAGCCUAUUUACAAUGCACAAACCAGAAGCAACAAUAUCUGCAGAGAAGGGUUGGCCAUUCUCAAAAAUCAAUUUUCGUUUUUGUGUUUCAGAGGAAAAAUCAGUGUAAAGGCAUCUCUCCAUUACAGACCGUUCUGAAAGAAGAAUUUAUGCAAACGCGUAUAAAAUGCUUUAAAAACUUUAACAGAGAUGUCUAGAGGGUAGUCUGCCUCCCACGUAAGAUUUUUCUAGUUACUAGUCGUUCAUUUGUCAUUAUUCAACUAAUCGCAGGUUUAUAUUAAAUUUACAUCUAUAAUCCAUAAUGAGCCUUAAUAUAUUCCGCGCUCAAGCACAUGCAUUAAGUUUGCCCCAAAGCACAGGCAGAAGUAGCCUAAUAAUUGUAAAAAGGGAGACAUUUUAAUUAUUUAUUAAUAAACAAAUGUUUUCUUGUCGGCUGCAAGAUGAAAUUCACAGUGCUGCCUCUCUCCACAUGGACGCGCCUUUAAAGAGACAUACAACCUUCACAGAUUACACAAUGCUUUCGUUUUGAAUUGAUUCGUUUAAAAGACAUUUCAAGCUUUCUGUAGAUAUAUUUCUCAUGUAUGUGAGACACCACAAUUUUAAGUUAAUUCAUUAUCAGGAAAAAAUUCAAGUGAUCUAGAGGGCACCUCCCUGUCCUGCAUGCGCAUUAAUAAUUUUCGCACAAACACUUGAAUAUGAAUAAUUAUUCACAUUUUGCAUAUGCAUUACAACGUAAAUUAUUUUUUACAUGCAAUUAUCUAAAAUAAAACCAAACAAGAUUUGUAAUGAAGAUAAAACAAAUAAGAAUAAAUGCUGCGCAUGCACUCAGCAUCACUCGCGCCGCGCAAAUCUUGCACGCAGACAUUUUACACACCUGCAUUUAAAUGCGGCUGCAAUUUUUUUUUUUUUUUUACUUAAAUUAUAUGAAAGCAAGUAACGGCGGCUCCCUUUAAAAUCACUGAAGUUGUCUAUUAAUGAAGCUCUUUUUUUUACAUCAUUUGCAGUUUGGUGAUUAUAAUGAGAGAACUUGAGUUUAAUCGUGAGGACGUUUUAUUAAUCCGUACAUUCUUUAGAAUUUCAAUGAUUUAGCUAAAUCGUGCAGGUUUAAUUUAUUCGUUUCUUGUUUUAAUUAGGCCUAAAUAAUGGGAACGAAAUUAUACAGUGCCUCACGUUUUACUAAAAGAAAAUAAUUUAUAAAACAAGCAACAAUUUCUCACAGACAAAUAUAUUUUCCCAAGAAGUUGUCUGUCAAAAUAAAGGACAGUUAAAGAAUAACAAAAAUGCAUGUUGUUUUAUUAAAGGAAUUUUAAAAUAUAAAUUAAAAUAUAGGCCUAAUAUAUGAGAAUAUUGACAUUUUGCAUAUAAAUCCAUGUAGCCUAGCUCACUAAAAUAGGCUACCACUUUUAAUGCUCUGAUGCAAAGUAAACCACAUUUUCUUUUGAAUAAUAUAACACAUAAUUCAUAUUAUAUAAAUAAUACUGCACACCUAUUAAAUGUGUCAAAUCUAAAAUAUGGUGUAAUACUGUGUAGCUUAGAGAAAAUAUAAGCACAGGCUCAUAGGCUUGAAAUUUAUCCUGCUUGAAAUUGUUCUAAGAAAUGCACAU
Molecule: long non-coding RNA, 3600 nt
Organism: Cyprinus carpio carpio
Lineage: Eukaryota; Metazoa; Chordata; Actinopteri; Cypriniformes; Cyprinidae
Source: Ensembl